CAGCUCAUCACUGUAAGAGCCUGUGACCGAUACCAAGAUCUCAAUGACUGCCAGGGAAACUGGCAAUGUUCAAAGGCUGCAGCAAGUGCUCAUCUUUCAUCACUAGCCUCAGUGUGGUAUCUUCUGCAAUCCUUUUACUUUGUUAUCACCUUGCAAGAGCUGGGAAUGAUCAAACUUUACCAUGCUGAUUUCUGAGUGCAGUCAAGGGUGAUCCUACUUUGUUUACUGUCACGAUGCCAAAGUUCUUGGUUUGUGUGUUUGUUGUGACUGAUAUAAUACUUCCACACUGCUGCUUCACAGUUACUGUAGAGCAUCUUUUGACCUGUUAGAAGAAGGAAGUUGUUCCCUCUCACCAUAGAUCAGACUGCUCUAUCUGAGCUAUCAAAUAGGAGAGUGACUCUGUUUUAUGAUGAACAUGUAUUGAUGAUCCAUUUGAAUUUUGCAUUACAUCUAGCUUAAGUUGAAGUACUACUUUCUUCCUUUUUCUUUGUGAUCUGUUAUACGCAUAAAUUAACAUUAGAAGUGUCCACUGAAUGAGGAUCAUGCAAUCUUCAAAAGACCCAUCAAAAAGAUGAAACAAUAUGCAAAUGUGCCACUGGCUUUACCUGUUCAUCCAUGGCAGUAGCUAAGGAAUUCUCCUGUCUUGUUAUCUUCAAGCAAUCAAUCUAAAGCAGUGUGGAACUGUGGGUGUCUUCAGUAUCAGAGAUUCUUUGGCUGUCUCUGCUGCUGCUUCUCCUGCACCACAAGUUUGUGUGGAACUGUGGAUGUACUGCCAGAGCUUCUUUGGUUGUUUCUACUGCUGAUCCUUCUGCACUGAAAGUAUAGUAUGGAAGUGUGGAUGUCCUCAGUAGCAGAGCUUCUUUGGUUGUUUCUGCUACUGCUUCUUCUGCAUCAGAAGGGUAGUGUCGAACUGUGGAUGUCCUCUCAGAUCUUUGGUUGUUUCUACUGCUGAUUCUUCUGCAUCAAAAUUACAGUGCUGAAGUGUGGAUGGGGUUAAGUAGCAGAGCUUCUUUGGUUGUUUCUUCUACUGCUUCUUCUGCAUCAAAAAUAUAGUGUGGAACUGUGGAUGUCUUCAGUAGUAAAGCUUCUUUGGUUGUUUCUGCUGUUUCUCCUGCUGCUGACUGUUCAUCAAAUGUAGGUUUGGGACUGUGGAUGUCCUCACAACCAGAACUUCUGUGGUUGUUUCCUCUGCUGCUUCUUGUUCAUCAUAUGUAGUGUGGCACUGUAGGUGUUUCUGCUACUGCUGCUUGUUCAUCAAAUGCAGUGUGGAACUGUGGAUGUCCUCAGCAUCAGAGAUUCUUUUGGUGGUUUCUUCUGGUGCUGCUUCUUUUUCUUUUUGCCUUCAUCUGCCUUAAGACAAAGGAGUGAAGCUGCACCAUGAAUGCCUCUUUCCAUGGGAUGAAAGAAAGAAACUCUUGCCAUUGAUUGUAGCUUUGAGGAACAGCUGCAUAUAUCAAGGUUCAGGUGGUAACUCUUGUGAGCAGGAAGAAGCCUAAUUGCUCUUCUUUCUUACUACUUGAUGAUCAUGAUAGAUAAGGAUUCUUCAUCCUGUCUUGUAAUGAAAGUUCAACAUUGAAAUAAUAUUGAAAUCAGACUUGUCUUUUGUGCUUUAAUAGCAUGGAUUGAACUAUACUGAAACAAUGUUUAAAGUAAUUUUGAGUGCAUCACUUGGGAUUCAGAGUGAUAAAGUUUGAAU
This 1696-nucleotide long non-coding RNA is filed under the name Musa acuminata (dwarf banana). Its description in RNAcentral is "long non-coding RNA (MACU_LNC005480)". The record is from RNAcentral. Lineage: Eukaryota; Viridiplantae; Streptophyta; Magnoliopsida; Zingiberales; Musaceae.